This 961-nucleotide long non-coding RNA is filed under the name Cricetulus griseus (Chinese hamster). RNAcentral describes it as "lncRNA (ENSCGRG00015043295.1)". Lineage: Eukaryota; Metazoa; Chordata; Mammalia; Rodentia; Cricetidae. The record is from RNAcentral.
GUUGUUUCUGUUGUUGGCUAAAGCUUAACAAUGGUGCAAGAGGACCAGCCUUCUAACUACAACUCCCGGCAUCCCCGCAGGCGGGGUGACGCACUUCCGGCAGCUGUCCCGGCUUGGUUGGGGCUUUGCGCCGCUCGGAGGAACCGGGUUGGAGAGCUGUCAGCCUUCUGGGUCAUUCGGGGUCACCUUUGGCCUUGGCCCUGGGGGACGGGGCUGCGGGGUCAGCCUCAGCUGCUCGUAGGCCGCGGAGGAGACAAUGCUGGUGAGUCCAGUGUAGUGAUUCAGGAGAGACCUGAGAGAUGGUGUGAAGAUAAGAGCUUCCGCUUGGAAGAAGGCACAGCUAACCCGGCUUUCUAGUGAGCUGUGGCUUUGGUGGUCUAUCUCAAAGUGUGCUCUCCACAGUCUCCCUUUCACAAGCUAACAAAGCUCUGUGGUGACAGAAAUGAAACAGUUCCAAAGAUUCUGGACUCAUCUGUGUGGCCUUGAAACCAUCUAUCAUGAAACCAUGACAACAGAUAACUGAAGCUGGCAUGGCAAGAAGCUAAUGGUCAGGGCUGCUCUCAGUCUCUCACUGUGGCAAGGAAAGUAACUAAUACAGCUUCGAGUGCUUGCAACGUCAUGACAGCCAUUUGUGUGCUAGGUGGGAGCACAAGAGGACAACUCUUCACUACAGCAUGUGACCACACAUCCUAGAGUCGUUAUAUAGAUAUGUGUACAUGGUCACAGGUGUCUACAGAGGCCAGAGAUGUCAGAUGCCCCCUGGAGCUGGAACUGUGUAAGUGGUUGGGAGCCACCUAAAGUGAACUGAACUUGGGUCCUCUGGAAGAGCAGUACCUACUCUCUGUUGCUGUGGCAUCUCUCCAGCCCUCCUAAACAUUGCAUUUCAAUCACUGAAGAACGUAACAGUAAUGACCAUCACUAUGUCUUGGAUGUGCUUAUACUAAGUACUGCUCUCCCAAUG